UACAGUGUUGAAAUUUCGUUC
This 21-nucleotide non-coding RNA is filed under the name Caenorhabditis elegans. The record is from RNAcentral. Lineage: Eukaryota; Metazoa; Nematoda; Chromadorea; Rhabditida; Rhabditidae.